Non-coding RNA from Acanthosepion pharaonis, 98 nucleotides. NCBI's taxonomy places the organism in Eukaryota, Metazoa, Mollusca, Cephalopoda, Sepiida, Sepiidae. The record is from the annotation of a GenBank genome assembly.
UUGAAACACUAGGUCUUGUACGAUCACCGAAGUUAAGAGACGUUGAGCCUGGUCAGUACCUAGAUGGGUAACCGCUUGCGAGUACGAGGUGCUGUAAG